GAGGGUCCGAGCGUUAUCCGGAAUUAUUGGGUUUAAAGGGUCCGUAGGCGGAUGAUUAAGUCAGGGUGAAAGUUUGCAGCUCAACUGUAAAAUUGCCUUUGAUACUGGUCAUCUUGAGUUGUAUUGAAGUAGGCGGAAUAUGUAGUGUAGCGGUGAAAUGCAUAGAUAUUACAUAGAGCACCAAUUGCGAAGGCAGCUUACUAAGUACUAACUGACGCUGAUGGACGAAAGCGUGGGUAGCGAACAGGAUUAGAUACCCUGGUAGUCCACGCCGUAAACGAUGGAUACUAGCUGUUCGGGACCUUGAGUUCUGAGCGGCUAAGCGAAAGUGAUAAGUAUCCCACCUGGGGAGUACGUUCGCAAGAAUGAAACUCAAAGGAAUUGACGGGGGCCCGCACAAGCGGUGGAGCAUGUGGUUUAAUUCGAUGAUACGCGAGGAACCUUACCAGGGCUUAAAUGUAGUCUGACAGCUUUAGAGAUAGAGUUUUCUUCGGACAGAUUACAAGGUGCUGCAUGGUUGUCGUCAGCUCGUGCCGUGAGGUGUCAGGUUAAGUCCUAUAACGAGCGCAACCCCUGUUGUUAGUUGCCAGCAUGUCAUGAUGGGGACUCUAACGAGACUGCCGGUGCAAACCGCGAGGAAGGUGGGGAUGACGUCAAAUCAUCACGGCCCUUACGUCCUGGGCCACACACGUGCUACAAUGGCCGGUACAGAGAGCAGCCACGUCGCAAGGCGGAGCGAAUCUAUAAAACCGGUCACAGUUCGGAUCGGAGUCUGCAACUCGACUCCGUGAAGCUGGAAUCGCUAGUAAUCGGAUAUCAGCCAUGAUCCGGUGAAUACGUUCCCGGGCCUUGUACACACCGCCCGUCAAGCCAUGGAAGCUGGGAGUGCCUGAAGUCCGUCACCGAAGGAGCGGCCUAGGGUAAGAUCGGUAACUAGGGCUAAGUCGUAACAAGGUAGCCGUACCGGAAGGUGCGGCUGGAACACCUCCUUUCUAGAGAAAAACAACCAAAAGAUUUAAGUACCUUACUCUUUUGGAUAGUUUAUUCAAUCUUGCUGUUCUUUUUAAUUAAGAUAUAUUACUAGUGUUAUGUAGGUAUAGUUGCUUACAUCAUAUUAGAGAUAGAAAUUUAACAAUGCGCAGUCUCAUAGCUCAGCUGGUUAGAGCGCUACACUGAUAAUGUAGAGGUCGGCAGUUCGAGUCUGCCUGAGACUACAAGUUUUAGUUAAAUGAAUAAAGUGUUGUAAAGACCUAUUUGAAACAACUAAAGUUUACUUUAAGUUGUUUUAGAGAUGUUUUUACAAAACAGAAGCGCAGCUUCACACUUUAUUAUCAAGAUAGCUAUUUGCGUAGAAAGCCUGUAGGGCUUACUACUUAAAAUGUUAUUGUUAGAGUUUUAUCAAAAUUACGUUCAUAGAGAUAAAAAUUAGGAAAUUUUAGAAGUUGGGUUACGGGGUGUUACCUUAGGUAACAUGCUUAGAACCUUGAAAGACUUUAGAGUUUUAAAUGGGGGAUUAGCUCAGCUGGCUAGAGCGCCUGCCUUGCACGCAGGAGGUCAUCGGUUCGACUCCGAUAUUCUCCACGAUUAAUUGCAGAUACUAUAGGGAUUGCUACACGGCAUGAACUAUGGAGUAGAUUAAAAACGUUCAUUGACAUAUUGGGACAUUGUGAUUGUAAUCUUCAGGGAUUACAACACGAUAAAAAAUGGAAAUACGAGCGAUAUAUAUUUUCGAAUAUGUAUUGUAAUAAAUAAUAAUUAAGAGAAUGCUCAGCAUAUGUACGAGGUACAUAUUGCGGCAAAGAUCUGGCGACAAGCUAGAUAAGGGCGUAUGGGGAAUGCCUAGGCUCUCAGAGGCGAUGAAGGACGCGAUAAGCUGCGAAAAGCUGUGGGGAGGUGCACAUAACUUGUGAUCCGCAGAUAU
This 1921-nucleotide small RNA is filed under the name uncultured marine bacterium. RNAcentral's name for it is "bacterial SSU rRNA". The stretch from base 1 to 992 matches the Rfam family "Bacterial small subunit ribosomal RNA", at positions 528 to 1533 of the family's 1533-position model. The record is from RNAcentral.